AAUAUCAAGAAUAUCUCUCAAGUUUUGAUGAUAUCAGAUAUAUUCUUCAACUUUGUAAUAAUUAUAAUUUUUUCUUUGAAUUAAUAAUAUAUUUGUUCUUAUUUUUUAUUGUUUUUAUUAGAGCCCAAAGCCUAUGCUUUUCCACAAUAUUUGGAAUCUAUCCAUAUUUCCUACCCAUGCCCUUGGUACAAUUAUACUAGUACCCGUCUGUUGCUUAGUUCACUUACAUCCUCCUUCUGGUACCUCCCUUCAAACACUCACACUCACAUGCCCUUACUGAAUCAGCAUAAUAUGUUUGUCAUGGCCUCCGUGGAUUCCUGCACAAACCAUAUACUAGCUUCAACUCACAAAAACUUCAAAAA
RNAcentral lists this long non-coding RNA (362 nucleotides) under Physcomitrium patens. RNAcentral describes it as "long non-coding RNA (PPAT_LNC007605)". Lineage: Eukaryota; Viridiplantae; Streptophyta; Bryopsida; Funariales; Funariaceae. The record is from RNAcentral.